This 636-nucleotide small RNA is filed under the name Pan troglodytes (chimpanzee). RNAcentral describes it as "processed transcript". The record is from RNAcentral. Lineage: Eukaryota; Metazoa; Chordata; Mammalia; Primates; Hominidae.
GUUGAUGGGGAGGUCAGGUCUGGGAAACUAGGCCCUGGGGUUUUCCCUGAGCAGGAGCGGUGCCCGAGGGCCUCAGGCUGAACCUCCUCAGAAGAGCAACUGGAGAUAGAAGCAUGAAUCUUUUAUCCAUACGUUCCGCCAGGCUCGAGAGGUCCAGCAGGUAACUGCCAAAGGUGGAAACUGUUCACACUUGCCUCCCAUCCUGCCUGCAGAAAACCCAGACUACAUUCAGUGUCCUCAAUGUAGCCACCACUUUGCUCCCAAGGUGGCUGAGCAACACAUUCCCAAGUGUAAGACCAUCAAGAACUGUCUUCCACCUCUAAGGAAGCAUCAUAGUUGAGCAGACAACAAUGGAAACUUUUGGAUAGUUCAGAAAGCUCUGCUUCUCUUCAGCAGUAAAUGGGAGUAGAAUUUGAUGCAAAGCAGAAAGAAAUCAAACAGCUUCCAGAUCUGCCUGCAGAGCUAAAAUCUGUGAGGAGAGAGCCACUGCUAAGCAGCAGGAGGCAGAAGGAAGCCCCAGCUUCCCACUAAAUUACAACCUUGGGCUGGUAUGCUUUAUGUUAUUGCCCUCAGAAUUGAUGGGUGAAGACACUGAAGAGUCGUGAGCAGGCUCCAUUAAAGCUCUCUUCUUGCAUG